UAUUUUUCCAAUCCUCUUUUCUUCUCAAAAAAAGAGGUGUCCAAGUCACACAGAGCCAUAGAAUCUCACAAGUGUCUCAGAAUUCCUUCUCCAGGGACUCUCAGAGGAUCCAGAACUGCAGCCCGUCCUCGCUGGGCUGUCCCUGUCCAUGUACCUGGUCACGGUGCUGAGGAACCUGCUCAUCAUCCUGGCUGUCAGCUCUGACUCCCACCUCCACACCCCCAUGUACUUCUUCCUCUCCAACCUCUCCUGGGCUGACAUUGGUUUCACCUCGGCCAUGGUUCCCAAGAUGAUUGUGGACAUGCAGUCGCAUAGCAGAGUCAUCUCUUAAGCGGGCUGCCUGACACAGAUGUCUUUCUUUGUCCUUUUUGCAUGUAUAGAAGACAUGCUCCUGACUGUGAUGGCCUAUGACCAAUUUGUGGCCAUCUGUCACCCCUGCACUACCCAGUCAUCAUGAAUCCUCACCUCUGUGUCUUCUUAGUUUUGGUUUCUUUUUUCCUUAGCCUGUUGGAUUCCCAGCUGCACAGUUGGAUUGUGUUACAAUUCACCUUCUUCAAGAAUGUGGAAAUCUCUAAUUUUUUCUGUGAUCCAUCUCAACUUCUCAACCUUGCCUGUUCUGACGGCAUCAUCAAUAGCAUAUUUAUAUAUUUAGAUAGUAUUCUGUUCAGUUUUCUUCCCAUUUCAGGGAUCCUUUUGUCUUACUAUAAAAUUGUCCCCUCCAUUCUAAGAAUUUCAUCGUCAGAUGGGAAGUAUAAAGCCUUCUCCAUCUGUGGCUCUCACCUGGCAGUUGUUUGCUUAUUUUAUGGAACAGGCAUUGGCGUGUACCUAACUUCAGCUGUGUCACCACCCCCAGGAAUGGUGUGGUGGCGUCAGUGAUGUAUGCUGUGGGCACCCCCAUGCUGAACUCUUUUAUCUACAGCCUGAGAAACAGGGACAUUCAAAGCGCCCUGUGGAGGCUGCGCAGCAGAACAGUCGAAUCUCAUGAUCUGUUCCAUCCUUAUUCUUGUGUGGGUAA
This 1015-nucleotide long non-coding RNA is filed under the name Homo sapiens (human). RNAcentral describes it as "non-protein coding lnc-ATG3-2:1". The record is from RNAcentral. Lineage: Eukaryota; Metazoa; Chordata; Mammalia; Primates; Hominidae.